UACGGAGGAUGCGAGCGUUAUCCGGAUUCAUUGGGUUUAAAGGGUGCGUAGGCGGACUAUUAAGUCAGUGGUGAAAUCCUGCAGCUUAACUGCAGAACUGCCAUUGAUACUGAUAGCCUUGAGUUUGGUUAAGGUAGGCGGAAUGUGUAAUGUAGCGGUGAAAUGCUUAGAUAUUACACAGAACACCAAUUGCGUAGGCAGCUUACUGAGCCGACACUGACGCUGAGGCACGAAAGCGUGGGGAUCGAACAGG
Molecule: ribosomal RNA, 253 nt
Filed under: uncultured bacterium
Lineage: Bacteria
Description: partial 16S ribosomal RNA
Rfam family: Bacterial small subunit ribosomal RNA
Source: RNAcentral